UACAGAGGUCUCAAGCGUUGUUCAUUCAUUGGGCGUAAAGGGUGUGUAGGUGGCGCCGUAAGUCGGGUGUGAAAUUUCGGAGCUUAACUCCGAAACUGCAUUCGAUACUGCCGUGCUUGAGGACUGGAGAGGAGACUGGAAUUUACGGUGUAGCGGUGAAAUGCGUAGAUAUCGUAAGGAAGACCAGUGGCGAAGGCGGGUCUCUGGACAGUUCCUGACGCUGAGGCACGAAGGCCAGGGGAGCAAACGGG
RNAcentral lists this ribosomal RNA (251 nucleotides) under uncultured bacterium. Its description in RNAcentral is "partial 16S ribosomal RNA". It matches the Rfam family "Bacterial small subunit ribosomal RNA", at positions 524 to 776 of the family's 1533-position model. The record is from RNAcentral.